This 447-nucleotide ribosomal RNA is filed under the name uncultured bacterium. Its description in RNAcentral is "partial 16S ribosomal RNA". It matches the Rfam family "Bacterial small subunit ribosomal RNA", at positions 29 to 523 of the family's 1533-position model. The record is from RNAcentral.
AACGAACGCUGGCGGCAGGCUUAACACAUGCGAGUCGAACGCCCCGCAAGGGGAGUGGCAGACGGGUGAGUAACGCGUGGGAAUCUACCCAGUUCUACGGAACAACUGAGGGAAACUUCAGCUAAUACCGUAUACGCCCUACGGGGGAAAGAUUUAUCGGAAUUGGAUGAGCCCGCGUAAGAUUAGCUAGUUGGUGGGGUAAAGGCCUACCAAGGCGACGAUCUUUAGCUUGUCUGAGAGGAUGAUCAGCCACACUGGGACUGAGACACGGCCCAGACUCCUACGAGAGGCAGCAGUGGGGAAUAUUGGACAAUGGGCGCAAGGCUGGUCCAGCCAUGCCGCGUGAGUGAUGAAGGCCUUAGGGUUGUAAAGCUCUUUCAGUGGGGACGAUAAUGACGGUACCCACAGAAGAAGCCCCGGCUAACUUCGUGCCAGCCGCCGCGGUAA